Molecule: ribosomal RNA, 472 nt
Filed under: uncultured bacterium
Lineage: Bacteria
Description: bacterial SSU rRNA
Rfam family: Bacterial small subunit ribosomal RNA
Source: RNAcentral
UGGGGAAUAUUGGACAAUGGGGGAAACCCUGAUCCAGCGACGCCGCGUGUGUGAAGAAGGCCUGCGGGUUGUAAAGCACUUUCGGUGGGAACGAAAUAUGCCGGGCUAAUACCCCGGUAGGCUGACGUUACUCAAUGAAGAAGCACCGGCUAACUCUGUGCCAGCAGCCGCGGUAAUACAGAGGGUGCAAGCGUUGUUCGGAAUUACUGGGCGUAAAGCGUGCGCAGGCGGUUGUGUAAGUCAGAUGUGAAAUCCCCGGGCUCAACCUGGGAAUUGCAUUUGAGACUGCACGGCUAGAGUGUGUCAGAGGGGGGUAGAAUUCCACGUGUAGCAGUGAAAUGCGUAGAUAUGUGGAGGAAUACCGAUGGCGAAGGCAGCCCCCUGGGAUAACACUGACGCUCAUGCACGAAAGCGUGGGGAGCAAACAGGAUUAGAUACCCACGUAGUCCCUGAGCGGGCUGGCAAGGCGCAU